This 482-nucleotide ribosomal RNA is filed under the name uncultured bacterium. RNAcentral's name for it is "partial 16S ribosomal RNA". It matches the Rfam family "Bacterial small subunit ribosomal RNA", at positions 30 to 507 of the family's 1533-position model. The record is from RNAcentral.
AUUGAACGCUGGCGGCAUGCUCUACACAUGCAAGUCGAACGGUAACAGGCCGCAAGGUGCUGACGAGUGGCGAACGGGUGAGUAAUGCAUCGGAACGUGCCCAGUCGUGGGGGAUAACUACUCGAAAGAGUAGCUAAUACCGCAUACGAUCUAUGGAUGAAAGCGGGGGAUCGUAAGGCCUCGCGCGAUUGGAGCGGCCGAUGUCAGAUUAGGUAGUUGGUGGGGUAAAGGCUCACCAAGCCAACGAUCUGUAGCUGGUCUGAGAGGACGACCAGCCACACUGGGACUGAGACACGGCCCAGACUCCUACGGGAGGCAGCAGUGGGGAAUUUUGGACAAUGGGCGCAAGCCUGAUCCAGCAAUGCCGCGUGCAGGAAGAAGGCCUUCGGGUUGUAAACUGCUUUUGUACGGAACGAAACGGCUCUGGUUAAUACCCGGGGCUAAUGACGGUACCGUAAGAAUAAGCACCGGCUAACUACGUG